UACGUAGGGGGCAAGCGUUGUCCGGAUUUACUGGGCGUAAAGAGCGUGUAGGCGGCCAAACAGGUCCGUUGUGAAAACUGGAGGCUCAACCUCCAGACGUCGACGGAAACCGUGUGGCUAGAGUCCGGAAGAGGAGAGUGGAAUUCCGGGUGUAGCGGUGGAAUGCGUAGAGAUCCGGAGGAAGACCGGUGGCGAAGGCGGUCUGCUGGGCAGUUUCUGACACUGAGGCGCGACAGCGUGGGGAGCAAACAGG
RNAcentral lists this ribosomal RNA (253 nucleotides) under uncultured bacterium. RNAcentral's name for it is "partial 16S ribosomal RNA". It matches the Rfam family "Bacterial small subunit ribosomal RNA", at positions 524 to 776 of the family's 1533-position model. The record is from RNAcentral.